GACGAACGCUGGCGGCGUGCUUAACACAUGCAAGUCGAACGGAAAGGCCCCUUUGGGGGUACUCGAGUGGCGAACGGGUGAGUAACACGUGAGUAACCUGCCCUUGACUUCGGGAUAACUUCAGGAAACUGGGGCUAAUACCGGAUAGGAAUCCUUGCUGCAUGGUGGGGGUUGGAAAGCUUCGGCGGUUUUGGAUGGACUCGCGGCUUAUCAGCUUGUUGGUGGGGUAGUGGCUUACCAAGGCUUUGACGGGUAGCCGGCCUGAGAGGGCGACCGGCCACAUUGGGACUGAGAUACGGCCCAGACUCCGACGGGAGGCAGCAGGGGGGAAUAUUGCACAAUGGGCGGAAGCCGGAUGCAGCAACGCCGCGGGCGGGAUGACGGCCUUCGGGUUGUAAACCGCUUUCAGCAGGGGCGAAGCUUGUGGUGACGGUACCUGCAGAAGAAGCACCGGCUAACUACGUG
RNAcentral lists this ribosomal RNA (465 nucleotides) under uncultured bacterium. RNAcentral describes it as "partial 16S ribosomal RNA". It matches the Rfam family "Bacterial small subunit ribosomal RNA", at positions 28 to 507 of the family's 1533-position model. The record is from RNAcentral.